Molecule: ribosomal RNA, 253 nt
Filed under: uncultured bacterium
Lineage: Bacteria
Description: partial 16S ribosomal RNA
Rfam family: Bacterial small subunit ribosomal RNA
Source: RNAcentral
UACAGGGGGGGCAAGCGUUGUUCGGAAUUACUGGGCGUAAAGGGUCUGUAGGUGGCUUGCUAAGUCAGACGUGAAAUCCCUCAGCUUAACUGGGGAACUGCGUCUGAUACUGGCGAGCUUGAGUGCAGGAGAGGAACGCGGAAUUCCAGGUGUAGCGGUGAAAUGCGUAGAUAUCUGGAGGAACACCGGUGGCGAAGGCGGCAUCCUGGACCGACACUGACGCUGAGGAGCGAAAGCCAGGGGAGCAAACGGG